GAAAGGAAGAGAGAAAGGAAGAGGAGGAAGGAGAGGAAGAAGGAAGAGGAGGGAGGAGCUCACCUUGACUCCUGGCUUCGUAUCCCACUACUGGAAUCUUACUGGAGAUAAUGAUGCAGGUACUGUGGUACCGAUGGGAUAUGACUCUACCUCUGCACCUGAGUACGAAGUGAUCGACUGGUGGAUGACAGAAGCAGAAGAGCACGAACAAGAUUGUGCCUGUGACACCUGUGCCUAUUCAACAUCUUGAGAGGCUAGGUGUCUUUUUGAUAUUCUGAUACCGAACUGGUUAAUGGUAUUUUAUUGGAUUUAACAUAUGUAAGGCAUGGACAUAGGUGACUUGAAUAACUCAGUUAUAGAUAUAUGUUAUCAUUA
Macadamia integrifolia is the source of this 375-nucleotide long non-coding RNA. RefSeq lists it as uncharacterized. The record is from RefSeq and is a predicted model, not a curated record. The transcript has 2 exons. Lineage: Eukaryota; Viridiplantae; Streptophyta; Magnoliopsida; Proteales; Proteaceae.